CCUACGGGGGGCAGCAGUGAGGAAUAUUGGUCAAUGGGCGGGAGCCUGAACCAGCCAAGCCGCGUGAGGGAAGAAGGUACAGCGUAUCGUAAACCUCUUUUGUCAGGGAACAAAGGCGGGGACUAGUCCCCGGCUGAGGGUACCUGAAGAAAAAGCAUCGGCUAACUCCGUGCCAGCAGCCGCGGUAAUACGGAGGAUGCGAGCGUUAUCCGGAUUUAUUGGGUUUACAGGGUGCGCAGGCGGCCUGUUAAGUCAGCGGUAAAAGCCCGGGGCUCAACCCCGGCGAGCCGUUGAAACUGGCGGGCUGGAGUUGGAGAGAAGUACGCGGAAUGCGCGGUGUAGCGGGGAAAGGCUUAGAUAUCGCGCAGAACCCCGAUUGCGAAGGCAGCGUACCGGCUCCACACUGACGCUGAGGCACGAAAGCGUGGGUAUCGAACAGGAUUAGAUACCCCAGUAGUC
This 459-nucleotide ribosomal RNA is filed under the name uncultured bacterium. RNAcentral's name for it is "partial 16S ribosomal RNA". It matches the Rfam family "Bacterial small subunit ribosomal RNA", at positions 338 to 795 of the family's 1533-position model. The record is from RNAcentral.